Picea glauca (white spruce) is the source of this 119-nucleotide non-coding RNA. The record is from Rfam. NCBI's taxonomy places the organism in Eukaryota, Viridiplantae, Streptophyta, Pinopsida, Pinales, Pinaceae.
GGGUGCGAUCAUACCAGCAUUAAUGCACCGGAUCCCAUUAAAACUCCGUAGUUAAGCGCGCUUGGGCUAGAGUAGUAUUGGGAUGGGUGACCUCCCGGGAAGUCCUAGUGUUGCACCCU